This 103-nucleotide non-coding RNA is filed under the name marine eukaryotic metagenome. Its description in RNAcentral is "SAM riboswitch (S box leader)". It matches the Rfam family "SAM riboswitch aptamer (S box leader)". Rfam says of the family: The SAM riboswitch is found upstream of a number of genes which code for proteins involved in methionine or cysteine biosynthesis in Gram-positive bacteria. The record is from RNAcentral.
GCUUAUCAAGAAAGGUGGAGGGAAUAGGCCCUGAGAAACCUUGGCAACCGUCCUAAAAAUGGAAAAGGUGCCAAAUCCUAUCCGCAAAGGCGGAAAAGAUAAG